CAACAGGGAUUCCCCUAGUAACGGCGAGUGAAGCGGGAACAGCUCAAAUUUGAAAUCUGGCCCUCGGGUCCGAGUUGUAAUUUGUAGAGGAUGCUUUUGGUGCGGUGCCUUCCGAGUUCCCUGGAACGGGACGCCUUAGAGGGUGAGAGCCCCGUACGGUUGGACGCCUAGCCUCUGUAAAGCUCCUUCGACGAGUCGAGUAGUUUGGGAAUGCUGCUCUAAAUGGGAGGUAUAUUUCUUCUAAAGCUAAAUACUGGCCAGAGACCGAUAGCGCACAAGUAGAGUGAUCGAAAGAUGAAAAGCACUUUGAAAAGAGGGUUAAAUAGCACGUGAAAUUGUUGAAAGGGAAGCGUUUAUCACCAGACUUUUUCUGGGGGGAUCAUCCGGUGUUCUCACCGGUGCACUUCCCCCAGUUGAGGCCAGCAUCGGUUUUCGGAGGGGGAUAAAAGCUUCGGGAAUGUGGCUCCCUCGGGAGUGUUAUAGCCCGUUGCAUAAUACCCUUCUGGGGACCGAGGUUCGCGCAUCUGCAAGGAUGCUGGCAUAAUGGUGAUCAACGACCCGUCUUGAAACACGGACCAAGGAGUCGAACAUUUAUGCGAGUGUUUGGGUGUCAAACCCUCACGCGUAAUGAAAGUGAACGGAGGUGAGAGCCCUUACGGGUGCAUCAUCGACCGAUCCUGAUGUCUUCGGAUGGAUUUGAGUAAGAGCAUAACUGUUCGGACCCGAAAGAUGGUGAACUAUGCGUGGAUAGGGUGAAGCCAGGAGAAAUCCUGGUGGAGGCUCGCAGCGGUUCUGACGUGCAAAUCGAUCGUCAAAUCUGCGCAUGGGGGCGAAAGACUAAUCGAACCAUCU
RNAcentral lists this ribosomal RNA (852 nucleotides) under Nigrospora gorlenkoana. RNAcentral's name for it is "eukaryotic LSU rRNA". It matches the Rfam family "Eukaryotic large subunit ribosomal RNA", at positions 66 to 945 of the family's 3401-position model. Lineage: Eukaryota; Fungi; Ascomycota; Sordariomycetes; Amphisphaeriales; Apiosporaceae. The record is from RNAcentral.